RNAcentral lists this ribosomal RNA (843 nucleotides) under Emberiza spodocephala sordida. Its description in RNAcentral is "Schoeniclus spodocephala sordidus partial 16S ribosomal RNA". The stretch from base 218 to 843 matches the Rfam family "Bacterial large subunit ribosomal RNA", at positions 569 to 1263 of the family's 2925-position model. Lineage: Eukaryota; Metazoa; Chordata; Aves; Passeriformes; Fringillidae. The record is from RNAcentral.
UUCAGCUUACACCUGAAAAAUGUCUGCUAACGCCAGAUCGUCUUGAUGCCAAACUCUAGCCCAAUCGACAUGACCUGGAAUAACAAAGCCACUUCCCCCCACCCAACUAAAGCAUUUACCAGUCCUAGUAUAGGCGAUAGAAAAGACACCAUUGGCGCGAUAGAGAUCACGUACCGUAAGGGAAAGAUGAAAUAGCAAUGAAAACUAAGCUAUAAACAGCAAAGAUCAACCCUUGUACCUUUUGCAUCAUGGUCUAGCAAGAAAAACCAAGCAAAAUGAAUUUAAGUUUGCCACCCCGAAACCCAAGCGAGCUACUUACGAGCAGCUAUCAUUGAGCGAACCCGUCUCUGUGGCAAAAGAGUGGGAUGACUCGUUAGUAGAGGUGAAAARCCAACCGAGCUGGGUGAUAGCUGGUUGCCUGUGAAACGAAUCUUAGUUCACUCUUAAUUCUUCUCCAAGGAACCCCACAAACCCUAAUGAAGCGAAUUAAGGGCUAUUUAAAGGAGGUACAGCUCCUUUAAAAAAGAAUACAAUCUCUUCGAGCGGAUAAAUACUAACCCCUUGCAACUGAAUUGUGGGCCCUCAAGCAGCCAUCAACAAAGAGUGCGUUAAAGCUCUACACCCCAAAAAUACAAGAACCCUAUGACUCCCUCCUCAUUAACAGGCCAACCUAUAUUUAAAUAGGAGAAUUAAUGCUAGAAUGAGUAACCAGGGUCCUCCCUCUACGACGCAAGCUUACAUCCACACAUUAUUAACAAACACUCAAUAUACGACAAAUCAAACAAGCACAGUAUUAAGCAUCUUGUUAACCCGACAGAGGAGCGUCCACUAAGAAAGAUUAAA